UCAUGCAGGAAGAAGAUUUGGGUUUUACCCAGUUGUUCAAUGAGCUUUUGCCUACAAUGCCUUGGAACUCUCUCAUGGAUAGGAUGAUGGGAGAGCUUCACUCUUUGGGGAUUACUAUCGAGCAGAUUGAGGACAUUUUGAAAAGGGCUCCAUUGCAGCCCCGGAUCAUAACAGCCAUAAAAUCAUUCCACACUUUUGGGUGUGAUUUGAGGAUUCUGAGCGAUGCGAAUCGAUUCUUCAUUGAGACAAUCCUGAAACAUCAUGGGCUG
Molecule: long non-coding RNA, 269 nt
Organism: Telopea speciosissima
Lineage: Eukaryota; Viridiplantae; Streptophyta; Magnoliopsida; Proteales; Proteaceae
Exons: 3
Source: RefSeq, a predicted model, not a curated record